CCUACGGGUGGCAGCAGUGAGGAAUAUUGGUCAAUGGGCGAGAGCCUGAACCAGCCAAGUCGCGUGAGGGAGUACUGCCCUAUGGGUUGUAAACCUCUUUUGUCGGGGAGCAAAAGCCGGACGUGUCCGGCUGUGAGAGUACCCGAAGAAAAAGCAUCGGCUAACUCCGUGCCAGCAGCCGCGGUAAUACGGAGGAUGCGAGCGUUAUCCGGAUUUAUUGGGUUUAAAGGGUGCGCAGGCGGAUUUUUAAGUCAGCGGUAAAAUCGUGGGGCUCAACCCCAUCCAGCCGUUGAAACUGGGGAUCUAGAGUGUGCGAGAGGUAUGCGGAAUGCGUGGUGUAGCGGUGAAAUGCAUAGAUAUCACACAGAACCCCGAUUGCGAAGGCAGCAUACCGGUGCACAACUGACGCUCAGGCACGAAAGCGUGGGUAUCGAACAGGAUUAGAUACCCUUGUAGUC
RNAcentral lists this ribosomal RNA (458 nucleotides) under uncultured bacterium. Its description in RNAcentral is "partial 16S ribosomal RNA". It matches the Rfam family "Bacterial small subunit ribosomal RNA", at positions 338 to 795 of the family's 1533-position model. The record is from RNAcentral.